Molecule: non-coding RNA, 959 nt
Organism: Manis javanica (Malayan pangolin)
Lineage: Eukaryota; Metazoa; Chordata; Mammalia; Pholidota; Manidae
Source: RefSeq, a predicted model, not a curated record
AAAGCACCCCAAAAACUGCCCUGCUGUGACAUGCUGUGUGGAGAAGCCGAUGCCUCAAGGAACCAUGGGAUCCUCACUCUAACAGCUGUUGAGGAGCUGAAUGCCAGCAACAACCACAUGGAGUCACUGACUACUUCCCACUUCAGUGAGGAUGCACAUCUCUGGGGGUGUGGGCCCUGGGGAACAGUCUCCCCAGUCUCAGCAACCCAUCAUCGUGGGACUUUUCUAGAGCUGCUGCCGCUGUCAGUGGCCGGGUCGCCAGCAUCUCAUCCCUCAUUUUGAAUCUCAGUCAGAGAAUGUGAGAAAUGCAAGAGAUUGAACACAUGGACUGGAUGUGACGUUCCUACAGGCGUGUUGACAGAGGCAAUAACUACAGUGAGACAUAGUGAACACCUUUCAUUAGAAAGCUGACUGAGCCUUCAAAGGAAAAUCCUUUAUCACAGAGGCUCAGAGGGACCGACUGGGCCCUGCCAAGCCCCGUGGUCAGCGGUCGGGCCGACAGGAGACCCACAGGCCCCGGGUAUGCACGUUCCCCUUGGCACCCGGCCCUCUUCGAGGAGGACCGCGUGGGAGCCCAGGACGGAGGCGGUCAGGGCGGCACCUUCUCGCUGACUCUCACGUGCCUUAUUCCAAGGAAGGGUUUCUGUUCUCUGCGGGGUGUGUCCCCGGGCUCCGAGGGCCAGGGGAAUGUGGCUGCUCGGCCAUGUUUUACUCAAAUUUGUUGCUUCCUCAGCAGUAUGGAAAAGAGGGAGAUCAUGGAUGAAAAAUAAUGAAAAGCAAGGUAAGAAAGUGCUCUCUGUGCCCUGGGCAGGAAGAGCCCCACUGGCCACUCUUGGAAGCUGGCUGAGAAGUCAGAGGCUCUGACGUGGAAUAAAAGUGAUUUGGGAGGAGAAGAGGGAAUACUUCCAGACUCAUUCUAUGAAGCCAGCAUCACCCUAAUACCAAAACCAGGCAAAGAC